RNAcentral lists this ribosomal RNA (397 nucleotides) under uncultured bacterium. Its description in RNAcentral is "partial 16S ribosomal RNA". It matches the Rfam family "Bacterial small subunit ribosomal RNA", at positions 523 to 918 of the family's 1533-position model. The record is from RNAcentral.
AUACGUAGGGGGCGAGCGUUGUCCGGAAUGAUUGGGCGUAAAGGGCGCGUAGGCGGCCCGGUAAGUCUGGAGUGAAAGUCCUGUUUUUAAGAUGGGAAUUGCUUUGGAUACUGUCGGGCUUGAGUGCAGGAGAGGUAAGUGUAAUUCCCAGUGUAGCGGUGAAAUGCGUAGAGAUUGGGAGGAACACCAGUGGCGAAGGCGACUUACUGGACUGUAACUGACGCUGAGGCGCGAAAGUGUGGGGAGCAAACAGGAUUAGAUACCCUGGUAGUCCACACUGUAAACGAUGAAUGCUAGGUGUAGGGGGUAUCGACCCCUUCUGUGCCGCAGCAAACGCAAUAAGUAUUCCACCUGGGGAGUACGGUCGCAAGAAUGAAACUCAAAUGAAUUGGCGGGG